UCCCCCGCGCGCGCGCUAACACACAUAAUUUUCACGGGCUAUAGCGCCGCUCAGUGGAUUUAUCUUAUUCCUCUCUGUUCAGUUAUAUAGUUUAUUGGGACCUUGGAGAACAAACAGAAUCGUCCUGUCCUUUGCCCGGUUCUUUUCUUGGUUGAAUGUCCGCAUUUGUAAUUGUCAUUAUGUCUAGUAACUAUAAUGACCCGCACAACUGUCAUUACGCGUGAUGUUUACGCCAAACGCGGGCCACGCGGUGUUUCCUGACGUGUACUCACCAACACUGCUGGAUGCAAGAAUUAUUGUUGAAAAAUGAGUGUGUAACGCGUGACCCCUCAUUUCCCACCUCGCUGACACCCUCUUUUCUGCAUCUGAGCCUCAUCUUGCAGGAGAGGCAAUCCAAGCUUUUGCUAACUGCAGAUAUCGAAGAGGAAUCUUAAACGGGAGAAAUUCUAGUUAAAAAGAGCAAGAUGGAGAACUAUUGAUCCCUUAUCCCAAAGGUGUCCACCGUAUGCAGAUGUCCCAAAGGUGCACCAGAGAAGGGUAAAUUAAGCCCUUAAAUGUGCAAUUGGCAAUAAUGAGCUAUCAUUACUCAAAUUACAGCAAGCACUGAUUGGGUUUAAAGUAAUGAAGAAAACAACAUGAUCAAUCAUCAUCAGGUCUUGAGAGUGUCAGGGUGGUGGCCGAGCCCUGCACCCACAUUGUUGGAGCAGAGCUCCAUCUUCAGGUGCCAGACUGGAGCAGAUAAAAGACCCCUCCAGCACACAAACACAUGUGAACAUCCUUUAUGAGAUUACAUUCGAACCUCAGAUGCUGCCCAACACACAGAGAUUAUAUCAUAUAUGGCAGACGUCCACCUUUGUCAUCUCACUGAGGCAAGUUUGUUCUCUUCCGUUAUUGUCAUCAGUGCGUACUUGCCCUCCGUAAGUGGAUGUAUCCAAAUGACAAUGCAUCAAACUUUAAUCACUCUUAAAAGUAUAAUUCACCCAAAAAUGAAAACUCUGUCUGCUUUUGCUCAAACCGAGUGUUUUUUUUUAAAAAUGCGAUGGAAGUCAAAGGUCACCAAAACUGUUUGGUUACCAACACAUAAUUAUAAUAGUUCAUUAUCUCUAUCGCCCACCAUUUAUUUUAAAGGCUCUCUCUCGUCAUUGUUGCCUGAUGAUUGAAUUGCUUUCGAAAAGGAUAUAUUAAAUUGUAGCUUUUUAUAAUCCAAGUUUUAGCGAAUGGCUAUACUGCAAAAGAUCUUGCACCACCUAUCAUUUUAAUACUCCAUCACACUUAUGUCAAUCUGGCUGCUGACAAAAUGAUUUCUUAAAUAAGUAGUCUUAGGAAAGAGAAAGUCAUUUAUGCCACAGUUCACCAGCCGAUAACUUCAAAAAGAUAAGGGAGUUAUAUAAUGGAGUGAAUUUAAGUCAUAUUAAGAGGAAUAUGCAGAUGAUGGCCAGCCAAAUACGUGUGGUGAUUAAAUGAUUUUAUGAGAUGAAUAAUGUAGAGUUGAGUCUUUCUUUGUGUGGUUUAGAGAGCUUUAGAGAGCUAGUUAGAUUUUUGUAUGCAUGAUUUUUAAUGCAUCAUGUGAUUCAAGAGAAUUGUGCAUCCUAACUUUUUAGACCAAGAGAAAUCAGUCUGGUUCAUCAAAAUCUGCACAUGGACUUCUUGAACAUUUCGCCUCUACACUCUUUUUACAUUCUGGAACAAAGUUUUCUCACAGAUCCAUUGGUGGCCCGGCAUUAGUGUGCAUGAAGGCUUCUGAAGUUGCCAUCAUCAAUAAUGAGGUCUCAUUUACACAAAUUACUCCGAACGCUGAUUAGGUAUUAUCUAACGGCAAGGGCCACCUCGAUCAAUCAUCAUCAGCGCACAGAGCGUCGAUGGACAUCAAAAGGUUAACCCAGAUCCAAUGGGCCCCUGGCAGUGUCAGCACAAAUCACUAGGGCAGGGCCGCCAUUCUGUCGAUAGAGCAGCCAGACAAUUAGGUAAUGAUUAAAAUAGCUGCACACAGGAGUCAAUAAGAAAAUGAGCCAUCCCGGCAUAAUUUUAGAAUGAUUUAUUUACCGAUCUAUAUGGAAGCAGGAAAAUAGGCACUCAAAUGCAAUGAUUGAAAGCCGGUUUCCUUAGUGUCACUAUCGUGAACUUUUCAGAGUCGUACUUUGUAAUGUGGUUGAGGUCUCUAAUUGAGAGUUGUUUGCAUGAGAGGCUGUUUCAUAACCAUUGUAAGGUUUGGUUUACUCUGGAGUGUCUAGCAUUGAUAUAUGCUCCUUGUUCAAGGAGUUACUAUCUAAAAGCAAGAUAAGUAUCAUAACAGUAAUUUUAUAAUAGUGUAGCUUUACCAGUAACAAGCAACUUUAUUUAACAGGUACGGUAGCUGUGUACUGCAACCGGGACCUGAUGUGAGAUCCACCAAUCAGAGAGUUUGAUUGGUGAAAUAGAUAAUAUCUAGUGGUAUUUUUGUGGGUUCUUGAGCCCCCGGCCACCCACAAGACUGGCUAUGUAUUAAAUUAAAUUAAAUUUAUGCAUUUAGCAGACUUUUAUCCAAAGCGUCUUACAGUGCAUUCAGGCUAUCAAUUUUUUACCUAUCAUGUGU
Long non-coding RNA from Cyprinus carpio (common carp), 2572 nucleotides. RefSeq lists it as uncharacterized. The record is from RefSeq and is a predicted model, not a curated record. The transcript has 3 exons. Lineage: Eukaryota; Metazoa; Chordata; Actinopteri; Cypriniformes; Cyprinidae.